Long non-coding RNA from Bufo bufo (common toad), 423 nucleotides. RefSeq lists it as uncharacterized. Lineage: Eukaryota; Metazoa; Chordata; Amphibia; Anura; Bufonidae. The record is from RefSeq and is a predicted model, not a curated record. The transcript is spliced from 3 exons.
AUCUGAACAUAGGUUGUUCAAAAGAUGUUCAGUUUGCCGUCGCUGGUAAGUGGUCUCAGCAUCCGAAUAUUGCUUAAGGUUACGGUUAGACCCCCUUCAACUGGUGUUAGUUUCCUACCUCCUGCCACGAGCAGAGAACAAGCCGAGUGACUACCUCUUGGCAGGAGGUAGGAAACUAACACCAGUUGAAGGGGGUCUAACCGUAACAUUAAGCAAUAUUCGGAUGCUGAGACCACUUACCAGUGACCGCAAACUGAACAUCUUUUGAACAACCUAUGUUCAGAUCACUGGCAAAUUAACAUAUAACUAUCCGAACAUUUGAGAGAUCUAACUAUAACACGUUGCAGACAGACACCAUAUAGCAAAUUAAGAGGUCACAUUUGGAGUACUCCUGCUAUUUAGGUAUAUGCGUGAGCUCCGCAU